Molecule: ribosomal RNA, 253 nt
Filed under: uncultured bacterium
Lineage: Bacteria
Description: partial 16S ribosomal RNA
Rfam family: Bacterial small subunit ribosomal RNA
Source: RNAcentral
UACGUAGGGGGCAAGCGUUGCCCGGAUUUAUUGGGCGUAAAGGGCGCGUAGGCGGCCACGCACGUCCGUUGUGAAAUCGCCCGGCUCAACUGGGCGGGGUCAGCGGAUACGGUGUGGCUCGAGCAAGCUAGGGGGCAAUGGAAUUCCCGGUGUAGUGGUGGAAUGCGUAGAUAUCGGGAGGAACACCAGUGGCGAAGGCGACUUCCUGGCCUGUUCUUGACGCUGAGGCGCGAAAGCUAGGGGAGCAAACGGG